Molecule: ribosomal RNA, 1128 nt
Filed under: Triticum aestivum (bread wheat)
Lineage: Eukaryota; Viridiplantae; Streptophyta; Magnoliopsida; Poales; Poaceae
Description: partial small subunit ribosomal RNA
Source: RNAcentral
UAUGAAUCGAAGGUGUUAGAAGCAAAUAGACAACGGAACAAGACCACAACCAGGACUAAUUGCGGGGCUAAAAUGAGGCUGAAGAGGGAAAAGGAUGGAACACUUGUCGUAAAAGAGAUAGUCUGGGAACACAACCACAGGCUGCAGCUCUCCCCCCAAAUGCUUGACUUCUUGCACUCCCACAAAAACUUUGACAAAACACUUGACUACAGCUCUCUGCAGUUCAAAGGCAUUGAACAUGCGCAAAUCAUGAGCAUACUGGGCGACGAUGACCCCGGUAGAUACUUCCUCGAAAUGAAUGCCAAAGACCUGAUUAACAUCAAAGCAAAGAAUUCAAGGAUGGAUGAUAUGGACGAUGUCCUAAAGACUGUCAACUUCUUUAGGUAGAUGAAAGCGAUAAACAGGGAAUUCUUCUGUGACAUACAAGCGAACGCAAGCUGCCGAGGGGCGUAUCAAGACUUUGGUGACUGCGUAAUGUUUGACACCUCAUAUAAGACCAACAAGUACCAUAUGCCACUUGGGGUGUUUGUGGUAAACAACCACUUACAGACUACAUUCUUUGCUUUCGCCCUGAUAAGAGAUGAGGAUGCAGAUUCAUUCAGAUGGCUGUUCAAAACAUUUUUAAGGUGCAUGAGAGGGAAGGCUCGUAUAUGCAUCCUCACAGACCAGUGCCCGGCAAUGGCUUUGGCGAUCCCAGAUGCUUUCGGGAACACAAUACACAAGCUGUGCCGCUGGCACAUUAUGAAGAAGUACAGGGAACACCUCGCACACCUGUACAACCUCCACGAAGACUUUAAGGAUGAAUUCACAACAAUCCUCAACUGGCCCCUCAUGCCAACUGAGUUUGAGGCUGCCUGGAAAGCACUCAUGGAUAAGUACAACCUCCGUGAUGAUGCCACGAUGGUGGCAAUGUGGAACGAGCGCAAGAGAUGGAUAUCAGCUUACUUCAAAGAAAUUUUAUGUGCCAAAAUGAUGUCCACACAAUAGAGUGAGAGCAUGAACUAUGUGCUCAAGAAGAACUUCGUAAGUCAGAGACAAAACCUGCACUGGUUUGUCAGCCAGGUAAACUCCCGCGUCAAAACCAGGAGGCAGACAGAGUACCAGGAGACAAUGGGUAACCGGGUAUAG